CUAUGGCAACUGAUUGUGAGGUCACCAGUCCUUAAAGCAACAGAAUAUGUGGGUCCAGACAAUGGCCUGCAAGAGAAAGGAAGAAUACAAAAUGGAAGCCUGGGAUAGAGAUCAUCUCCUAGGAAAGGGGGAGGCCACCCAAGGCCUGUCAGGGGGAGGGCUCCACUUCUCAGCCCAUCUGCAGUAGGUCCACAUUCGGGCAGCACUGGCUCCUUCUUAGUCCCAUGGAAGCACAGAUCAACAUCAUUGCCCUUGCAAACUUCUCUCAGCUUAGGAGAGUCUACUCGCUCUUUGCACAUUGUUGACAUGAAAUGAAUAUUAAACACCAAACCUCAUAGAGGCCAGCCCUGCUGGGCGAGCAAUGAACCAACCCUCCUCAUGCCUGUUCAUUAUUAUAAUUAACAUUGAGCCGAGGUUGGUGGUGACCUCGCCCUCGCCAGGUAUUUGGGCUGUUUUAGCAGCUUAUUCAGAUCAGUGACAGACAGCUCUGAAUAGAUAAACUCCCCGCCAUCCAGACGAAUCAAUUGCAACACUGCCGUCACAACAAGCCCAAUAAAUCAAUCUGAUUUCAGGCGACAUGGUAACUCAGUGCUGGGCAAGCUGGUUUUAAUUUCCGCGUGGCUGAGACCCAGCUUCCUCUACUCACUGGAGCACCCCUCUUUCCCAGCUGAUGCUCUGUG
RNAcentral lists this long non-coding RNA (680 nucleotides) under Homo sapiens (human). RNAcentral's name for it is "HSALNT0389239". The record is from RNAcentral. Lineage: Eukaryota; Metazoa; Chordata; Mammalia; Primates; Hominidae.